UACCAGCACACACCAAAAGAUGUAAAGGUGCUCCUUAUGAGAGAAGAGAUUUCUACUGGCUAUUUUCUUCUGCACUCUUUGUGGCUAUUUUGAACCUCAGUUCAUAUAACGUCUACACAUUGUCUUAUGGAUGCGGGAUCAUUGUGUUUGCUCUCAGGGGAGCAACAAGGAAAUAUAAUUCUCUAAGGGAGAAGAGAGGCUGGAGUUAGCUUUACACAGAGCUGUUUCCAGCUUAGUGGGGGCCUAUGGAGGAAGCCAUUUGAAGGUCCCCGUAACAUAACGCUGCAUCAAAAAGCAAGACCAAGAUCUUUUAAUCUAGUAAAUCUCAACACAACUAUCUACUUUUAUUAGUGAUGAAGCAUGACGGUGGUAACAUUAUGCUUUGAUGGUGUUCUUUGGUGUUACGGGCAUUGACAAGGGGACUGGAGCUGAGUGAGUAGCUCAAAGAAAAAUCGUGCACACAGGAAAAUAGUCAAAUGCAGAGGGCU
This 488-nucleotide long non-coding RNA is filed under the name Gouania willdenowi (blunt-snouted clingfish). Its description in RNAcentral is "lncRNA (ENSGWIG00000025797.1)". Lineage: Eukaryota; Metazoa; Chordata; Actinopteri; Blenniiformes; Gobiesocidae. The record is from RNAcentral.